UUGGACUCACCCUAUCUGCCUUCCUCUGCUC
RNAcentral lists this non-coding RNA (31 nucleotides) under Homo sapiens (human). The record is from RNAcentral. Lineage: Eukaryota; Metazoa; Chordata; Mammalia; Primates; Hominidae.